RNAcentral lists this ribosomal RNA (497 nucleotides) under uncultured bacterium. RNAcentral describes it as "partial 16S ribosomal RNA". It matches the Rfam family "Bacterial small subunit ribosomal RNA", at positions 28 to 507 of the family's 1533-position model. The record is from RNAcentral.
GAUGAACGCUGGCGGCGUGCCUAACACAUGCAAGUCGAGCGGACAGACGCGGAGCUUUCUCCUCUGACGUUAGCGGCGGCCGGGUGGGUAACCCGUGGAUAACCUACCUCUACGACUGGGAUAACUUCGGAAAACGGGGGCAAGAAUGGGAUAAUAUAUUGAACCGCAUGGUUCAGUAGUGGAAGACGGUUUUGCUGUGUGUUACAGAUGGGUCCGCGCCCGCUUAGUUAGUUGGUAAGGUAAGUGCUUACCAAGGCCACGAUGCGUAGCCGGCCUGCGCGGGUGGUCGGCCACCCUCGAACUGAGACACGGUCCAGACUCCUACGGGAGGCAGCAGUAGGUAAUCUUCCGCGAUGGGCGAAAGCUUGACGGAUCCACCCCGCUUGAGUGAUGAAGGUCUGCGGAUCGUAAAACUCUGUUAUUAGGGAAUAACAAAUGUGUAAGUAACUAUGCACGUCUUGACGGUACCUGAUCAGAAAGCCACGGCUAACUACGUG